UUGAAAGGGAAACGAUUGAAGUCAGUCGUGCUGGCGCGAAAUCAACCUUCUCGUCGAGAGAUCGCAUGGCGUGGCGAGCCUCAAAACCGUCGCGAAGCGUGAACUCUUGGUGAAAUGGAGCACUUUCGUGUCCGCUGGUUAACAUCAAUUUCGAUCGUCAUAAAAAGGCUGGAGGGAUGUGGCUCCUUCGGGAGUGUAUACCUUUAGCGGAAUGUGGUGGUCGGGAUUGAGGAUUGCAACGAAUACCUUAGGGCUGUCCACCUGGCUCUCAUUGGCAUCCUGGUGACGACAGCUUGCUGACGUCGUUAGGAUUCGCCUUUGAACAGGUUAGAGUGUGAGCAAAUUCGUUAAGGAUGUUGACGUA
RNAcentral lists this ribosomal RNA (364 nucleotides) under uncultured Glomeromycotina. Its description in RNAcentral is "eukaryotic LSU rRNA". The record is from RNAcentral. Lineage: Eukaryota; Fungi; Glomeromycota.